AACCUAUAGAAUUAUUCUCUUAAUUAGUGGAGCCCACAUUCUUUCUUUUCUUAAUUAGGAUGUUAGUAGAGGCAUGGAGCACCAUAUUCUCUCUUCUUAAUUAGGAUGGAGCCCACAUUCACUCUCUUCUUAAUUAGGAUGUUAGUGGAGGCAUGGAGUCCAUAUUCUCUCUUCUUAAUUAGGAUGGAACCGCUUCUUUCCAAAUAUUUCUCACGUUAUCUUUUUUUUCUUCGCACUGUUCCCCUCCUCUUUGGUGGAGCCCAUAUUCUCUCUCUUUUAAUCUAUAAAAUAUAAUAAAUCCUCAUGGAUUUCAAGCCCUCUCCGCAAUUCAUGGAAAAAAGUGGGCCUGUCCCCUCUCUAAACCUAUAGAAUUAUUCUCUUAAUUAGUGGAGCCCACAUUCUCUCCCUUCUUAAUUAGGAUGUUAGUGGAGGCAUGGAGCUCCAUAUUCUCUCUUCUUAAUUAGGAUGGAGCCCACAUUCACUCUCUUUUUAAUUAGGAUGUUAGUGGAGGCAUGGAGUCCAUAUUCUCUCUUCUUAAUUAGGAUGGAGGCAUGGAGCUCAUAUUCUCUCUUCUUAAUUAGGAUGGAACCGCUUCUUUCAAAAAUUUCUUACGUUACCUUUUUUUUCCUCGGACAGUUCCCCUCCUCUUUUGUGGAGCCCAUGUUCUCUCUCUCUUAAUUAAGGUGGGGCUAAUUUCCUUCUAAAUACUUCUUACGUUAAUUCGUCAAGUAAUAAAACCAACCCCAACGAAAUCACAUUUUUAUUUUUUCUCUUCUCUUUUAUUCUUGCAUUAAAUUAUGUUUUUUUAAUUCCUAUCAACAAUUUUUAUUCUCUUUUAUUGUUUAUUUUUUGUUUUCUUUCUUUGUUCUCCGUUGGAUUAUAUUUUCAUUCUAAAACAAUUUUUAAUAUAUUUUUUAUAUUAUUAACCAAUCAAAUAUUAAUUAUUUUCUACUAUAUUUUUAUAUUUUUAUUUGUAUAUUUAAUUUAUAAUUUAUUAUAAUUUUUAUCCGCCGCAUCGCGCGGGUUCCUACACUAGUGUUAAUUAUAGGCCGUGCUCUUCUUACACACACACAUGCACAAAAAAACAAAAAACAAAAAACAAAAAACAAAAAGCAAAAGAAAAGAUGAAUUAUACUUUGAAAACCAAAAGUAUAAUUUAUCAAUUUUGCAUUUUUCAAAAAUUAUACUUUGAGAACCAAAAGAUAAAUUAUACUUUGAGAAUCAAAAGCAAAAUCCGAGCGCAUUUUCCACUUUUACAUAUCCAUGCCGAAUUUUUGUAGUGUUUGUGGUGUUUAGCGGCAAGUGUGAUUUUAGCAUCUACGGCUUGUCGACACGCCUGGAUAGUGUCGGUACAAGUCAGAAUCGUUUUGGUGCGAAAUAGACAUAAACGGACUCAGCGCGACGCGAGAGUGGAGUUCUGACACUGAAAUCUGCAAAGUGCAGAAUUUCACUGUUGAGUACUGGUACCUGAGGAGAAGUACCAGUACCCCAGUGAGAUUCAGAACUGGAUGCUCUCGGAUUGCGUAUAUUCGAUGUUGAGUACCGGUACCUGAUGUUGAAUACCGGUAUCAAGCUUGGGUACCUGUACUGUAUCGGGCUGGUACCGGUACCAAGUGCGCGAAACUACACGCUGAGGGCCCGAGUACCGGUAUUCAAGCUGAGAACCGGUACUCUAGCUGGAAAGUAAGUUGGUGAGAGGCAGUUUGGUCCUUUUUAUGUGUCGUUCAAUCCUAUGUUUACCCAGUCUAUAUGUAUGUGUAGAGAGCUGCAGAGAAGAGAAUUCUUCUCCUUUCCCUCUCUUUUUCUAGCUGGUGGACACCGUCUGUUGGGGAGGUCGAGGCUCGAGCUCGUUCGGAUUUGAUGUUACUUCGGAGGACCGUUUGUGCGCGUGGUUGUCGCGGUUAUGCCGUUGGAGGUCGGGCGAGUGCGUAGGUUCCCUCAUGUCGAUUUCUCGCUGUUGUUGGACCAGCGCUCGAGGUGGGUUGAUUUUUACCGAAAUCGUCGGAUUUCCUUCUAAGUCCUAAAAAGUGUCAGCAUUUAUGGUUUUCUUGUGUAGUAUCAUGUUUAGUAGCUCGAGUUCAUGGAUUAGUAUAGUUUUAUGCAAUAUGAAUUUAGAGCCUUAUUGUUGGAAUAUUUAUUUAUAUGCUGAACUUGGAAUUGACUUAGGAGAAAACCAGUAAACCUACACUGUCAUUUCCUGAAAAGUUACCAGAUUUAGCUUUAGGAGCUGUGGUUCUUUUGACUUAGGAGAAAACCAGUAAACCUACACUGUCAUUUCCUGAAAAGUUACCAGAUUUAGCUUUAGGAGCUGUGUUCUUUUGUAUCCUCGAUGUUAAUGUGUACUGGAUACUCAAAUUAGUGUAAGAUGAAUUUACGCUUGUGCUUGGAGGCCGAGCUCGUUUUACAUAUAUGUGUAGAUGGUUUCGUACUGUCGGGUGCUGUCAUGGUUGACGGUGGAUCCAGAUUUGCCACAGAUUGUGUCAAGGACACGUGAGUUUUGGUUGUUAGACCAAUUUGCAUUGACAACAACCUGUGACAGCCUGAUUGAGCUCGGCAAAGACACGCUUGCAUACUCGGUUGGUUCGCGCCCACGAGUGCCGCUUCGGAGUCUAGCUACUUUGCUUUGUGUUGAUGUCGUAGUAUUCCGGUUUGGACUUUGCUCUCCACUAGCCACCCUCGAGGUGGUGUACGGUGUAGCUUAGACAGGUAGGACAGGCGUAUCGCAGUCCCUAGUGAGAUUGGGUUAGUAUAAUGCAUCUUUAUAUCUACAGGUAGAUUGUGUUGGUUAGCGAUAGUAUAGUGGCAUGCAGCUGUAGAGUUCUUUCCAGCUUUCCUUACUACCGUUUGCGCAUAUUUCUGUAGACUUAGUAGGUGGGCCGUUGAGGUCGAUGGCGAUACCCACUGAGGACUACUCUAUUUUGCAGUAGUUCUCAUACCCAGUUGUUGACCCCUUUUUGCAGAACCUUCGUCUGCGGCUACUGCUGUUCCUGAUUCCGACCCAGGGAAGGGAGUCGUGAGCUAGAUUCUUCCUACCCUUGGUUGUUGUGCUAGCGGAGUACCCGUCAGAGGUAGUGGGUUUUGUUUAUGUACAUACUCUUUGUUCGGUUUACUAACAGGAGCGAGGUGUUAGGAUGGUUCGGAGCUUUUGUAUAUACUAUGAACUUUAUGUUUUAUAUACAUGUUUCAGUUUAGCAGCUCUAUACUUCUGGUUGUAACUAUGAUUUGAUUACAAGUACAGCUAUCGCUUCGUAUACUUCGAAAAUUUCUAUAUAUACAGCGGGUCUGUGGGCGUGCUCGAGAAAAUAUGGUAAUCCGAGUCGUGACAUUUUUAGAAACUAAUCAAGAUAUCCAUAUUCUCUUUCUUUUUUCUCUAUCUUUCGUUUCUUCUAUUUCCACUUCUUCUCCCUCGUCCUCCUCUACUGCCCGCACGUCACCACUGUGCUCCUUCCUUACCUUGCCUAUAUCUCCGCUGCCACUGAUAGCAGCGGUGCGGGCUCGAAUACGACAUGAAUCGUGUAGGUGAGUGCGUGGGUAGUGGUGAGGUGCUGGAGAUGGAGGAGCAGAAAGGGAGAGGAAGGAGGAGAAGGGACAGAAAGGGGACAUCAAUGUACUCUUUCAUUUUCUUCUUCUUCUUUUAUUUUUUUUAUUUUUUCUUCAUUAAAGAGAAUAAAAAUAGGCCAAUUUGCAUAAAAAAUUUAUUAGUUUUGAGAUUUUACAAAAAUAGGCCAUCAUUUUAGAUUUUGCAGAUUCAGUUUAAAUUUUUUAAAAAUUACCAAAAUACCCUUGUUCCUUUCUCUCUCUUUUUUUUUUUUCUCUCAUUUUUUUUUUAUUCUAUCCGAAGAGGGCGACAAAGAUGGAGGCGGCCCGCCUCACCUUUACCCCGUGUGCCCUCCUCGCCCGCACACCCCCCACUCUCCUCGCCUCUCAUCCCGCCAAGGCUAUGCAACGACCCUUUUUUUUUUUUCUUUCAAACCUUCCUCCACCACCUCCACGGUCCUGCGCGACGGUAAUGAGGACCGCACAGCACCCUCUUCCUCUACCUUCACCCUCCGCCUCCACCAUAGCAUAUUUUCACGCACCAAACCCACUUUUGGGAACCUGCCAUCCUCACUGCCGACGACGAAGAAGAAGCGUUUCUUAGUGCCGAGAAGCUCGCCGGCGAGAAAGGGGCCCCCACCGCGCCCACCCGGGGCCGGCAAUGAGCGAGGUGAAGACCGAGGAGAGCGCGGCGACAUUGGAGAAGAGGGCGGCGGAAACGAAGGCAGUGUCCAAAAGAGCGGCGGCGAGCGUGGCCUCGACAGGGUCGGAGGCGAAGAGGGCGGGGGUGCACGGGAGCAUCUCUAGUCAAACACUUUUGUUUGUUUUUUAAAAAAAAAUUAACUAAAGGCCAAAACACUAGAGAAUAAAGAAGAAGAACUAAAGAAGAAGAAAAAUAAAGAUGAAGUUGUAGCUAUUAAGAUGAAAUUGUACUAUUUUAGAAUAACGUUACACUAUAAUAGACGUAAGUUAUACUUUUUGAGAUAUAAACUGCACGUUUUAAGAAAAAAUUAUACUUUUUAAACGGAAGUUACACUUUUUGGAGGAUAGUUAUACUGUUUCUACUUCUCCUCCUUCCCCUUUUCUUUCUUAUGCUUCUUCUACGUACGCCUAACUCUCCGCUCUCCACCUUCACCAUAGCAGAUUCGGUAUAACCUUGGAAGAGCUGUUGGAGGUGGAGGUCGAAGAGGAAUUGGGCGUAGAAGAAACACGGGUAAGCAGAGACAAAGGAGGAGGAGGAAACACAAUAUGACUACCUCCCUAAGAGUGCAACUUUUACUUAAAAAGUAUAAUUUUUCAUCUUAAAAAGUACAGUUUACAUCUCAAAAAGUGUAAACGUCUAUAAUAGCGCAACUUCAUCUUAACAAUACAACUUCAUCUUUUUAUUUUUUAUUUUCUAGUUCUUCUUUCUAAUUCUCUAGUUUUUUACUUUUAGUUAAUUUUUUUGUUUUAAACAAACAAAAGUGCUUGACCAAAGAUGUUGCGGUCGAGGUGGAGGUGGAGGGCGAAGAGAAGUUGAGCAUAGAAGAAGCACGAGAAAGCAAAAGAAAAGAAGGAUGAGGAGGAAAAACAGUAUAACUAACCCUUAAAGAGUACAACUUUCAUUUAAAAGUGUAACUUUUAUCUUAAAGAAUACAGUUUACAUCUUAAAGAGUACAACUUACAUCUAUAACAGAGCAACGUUCUACUAAAAUAGUGAAACUUCAUCUUUUUCUUUCAUUUUCUCUAGUUAUUCUUCCUUAUUCUUUAAUUUUUGGUCUUUAGUUUUUUUUUUUUUUCCAUCUCCACCUCACUCAUCAUCGGCUUCGAGUGGGGCCACGUUCCCCUUCCCUCGUUGGCGAGCUUUUCGUUGCUGAGAAGUGCUUCUUCUUCAUUGUUGGCGGCGGUGGUGAGGAUGGCGAGUUCCCAGAAAUGUGUUUUGGUGGGUGAAAAAUUUACUAAUGUGCAGAUGAAGGGCAAAGUCGGAGGAAGAGGAUGCAGUGUCGUUCUCAUUAUCGUUAUGAAGGGCCGCGGAAGGUUGGAGAGAAAAAAAAAAAGAGGGUCGCGGGCGGCCUCAGCGAGUCAAAGGCGAAGAGGGCGGGGGGAUGGGGGGCAAGGGUGAGGGCACGUAGGGGAGAGGCGGGGCGGGCCGCCUCCACCUCUGCCUCCACUGCCCUUUUUAGAGAGAAUAAAAAAAGAGCGAGAGAGAAUAGAAUAAAGGUAUUUUGAUCAGUUUUCUGAAAAUACAGACUGAAUAUACAAAAUUCAAAACAAUGGUCUACUUUUGCAAAAUCUCAAAACUAAUGAAUUUUCAUGCAAAUUGGCCAUAAAAAUAUUGCAAUGUUUGGCUAUGUGUUGUAUUAUUUGAUAAGUAUAAAAAGCUGUAAAAUACUACAAUAUGCAGUCAAAUAAUGCAAUAUACAACGAAAUAGUAUAAUAUGUUUCCACUAUUACACUAUUUGACUAUAUAUUGUACUAUUUAAUAGAGCUUGACGGGGCUACUAUUGGUAGUAAACGGCUCGAUAUACUACUGAUUUGUUUUUGAUAAUAGAGUUUCCAAAUCAACGAUCGACAUCGUUAAACAUAAUCUUAGACCAUUUAAAUUAUCUAAAAAUCAAAUUUCAUAAUUUUUUGACAUCACUAACUGAACGAUCAAAGGGCCAUAAAAUCUGUAAUUUUAAUGACCGAUAUGGUACGUUUGCUCGUUUAACGAUAUAGAAGGGUUCAAAUCAACUAAAUUUUUGUUAAAAAAUUCUUUAAACAAUUUAAAACAAGAUCUAGACUCUAGAUCUUAAAUAUAGAAAUUGUAUCAUCACUUUUUAAAGAAUAUUUAUUUUCAACCAUUCAUUUUUCUGUUCACUUGAUGGACAAAAGAACAAUAUCGAAAAUGCGUAAAAUUUUAUUUUCAGAUAGUUUAAAUGGUUUAGAUUAUAUUUAAUGGUGCCGAUCGACAAUUUGAAAGCUCUAUCAUCGAAAAAAAAUUGGUAGUAAAGCAAGCAGUUUACUACUGAUAGUAUUCUAGCAAAACUCCUAUUUGAUAUUAUGUUACACUACUUUACAAUUUUUUAUAUUUAUCAAAUAAAAUAGUAUAGAGCUAAAUAGUGCAAUAUUUUUAUUCUUUUCAAUGGAAAAAAAUAAAAGAAGAAAAAGAAGGAAAAGAAAAAAACAGAGGACAUCGACGUUCCCUUCCUCUCCCUCAUUCUCCUCCAUUGCCUACAUAUCAUCGCCAUCGCAACCUCGGGCUCUUCGACCUCCCACCCGCCAUCAUCAUUGGAAACCUCUAUGAGAUUAUCACCCUCGUGUCUGCGUCUUAGAUCCGCAAUAUCGGUGGAGAGGAGAAGGAGAAGGGAGAGGAAAAGAGAGGAAGAUGGUGGAGGAGGAGAGAGAGGAAUGUAACGACAGCGAUAAUACUAUUGUCAAAGAAAAUAGAGAGGGAUGAGAGAGUGUAAGGAAAAAGAGGAAUAUUUUGGUCAGAUUUUUAAAAAUCUGAAAUAAAUUUGUAAAAUACAAAAAAUUGAUCUGAUUUUAUAAAAAUACAAAACUAAUAAUUAAUUUAUGCAAAUUGACCAACUUUUUAUGUAAAAAAGCCUAAAAUCUAUUAAAAUAGUCUUUUGGAAUUGAAUGGUUCUACUUGAUAGUUGAUACCACUCCUACAUUAUUAUUACCAACUACCAAGUGGUCCCAAAUUAAAUACAUUCCUAAUUACUACCAAUAUAUAUNUCAAACACCCUAUCUAUCCAUUAGGAUUAAUGCGUAGACCUUCCAACGUUUUAGAUUUUUUUCAAAUAACCACCUAAACUUUUAAUUUUAGUGACUAAAUCCUCGACACUUUAUCAAAUAAUUUAAUUGGCCCUUGCCCUUAAAGUGAACAUCUUAAUUCAACAGCCAUAUUGGUAGCAUAUUUUGUAAAUAAUAUAACAGUUUCCAAAAAAUGAAAAAAAAUAACUUUUACUUCAUUGAUAAAAAUAAGGAUUAAUUGCAUACAACUUCCUGUAAAUAUAUCGAAAGUAAAUAUAUCCUACAAAGUUCAGAACUUUUAAUUCUUAUCCCUACAAAAGUCCAGUAAUAUCAUAUUUGUCCCUCACGUUUGUUACCGUUAAAAAAAUAUUUAUUUUUUAACAGUAGAUAAGUGAAAUGUCAAUUUUGCCAUCAUAAAUAUAUUUCUCCAAAUGCCCCAAUUGCUAUAAUUGUGAAGAAAUAUCUUCUCAAAAAAUUUUCAAUGAUUAUAUUCUUCUUUUUUAAAAUCCAAUCUAAUCCAUCAUUAUUGCAACCUCUUCUCUCACACCUUUUCUCCUAAAUUUUUUCUUUUGAGCAAAAUAAGAAAAAAAAUCAUAAAGAAAUUGAAUGGAAAAACAACACGCGUUCAACAUGGAUGAAGCAACACUCGUCAUGAAUGAAUGAGAACAGAGAAAUUCUAGAUAUGAGUUCGAAACAAACAUGAAGUUGAGAGAUGUAGAGGAUGAAGUAAAAGAGUUUCCAUUGCCAGAGUUUUAAUUAAGAGAAGAAGGUAUUAUAUAAGAGGAGCAAAAAUGAUAAUUUAUCACAUUGACAAAACAAGACUAAGUAUUUUAUUUAUGGUUAACUAAAUUUUCUAACGGAUCGUAAUGGCAGAGGCAUAUUUUGAAAAUAUUAGGACUUGCAAGGAUAAUAUAAAAAGGUUGAACUUUAUAGGAAUAUUUGCAAUUUGCUAUAUUUACAUAGAGUUGCAUACAAUUAACCUUAAAAGCAAAGUAUAAAAAGUAAAGAAUAAGCCAAAUCUAUCUUCCAUUUGUAUCCUUUAUAAAAUAUUUGAAUGGAAAAAAAUAUGUUUUAAUGUCAUUGAAAUUGAAAAUAUGUUAUUUUAAUUAAUGUGUUUAGAAGCUUUACAAAAUCAUAUACAAGAUAUUUGUUGAGGAUGAGUGUUUAAGGGAAAAAAAAAUUAAAUUUGCAAGUCGUCUCGGCCAACCAGCAAAUACGUUUCAGUGUGCAAAAAGUCUAAAAUGCAGCUGUUAUAUUGUUAACGUAGCAUUUCCAACCAAUAAGAUUAUCCCCUUGAGUUGAUCUGUCCCAUCAUGAUUAAUAAAAAAAUAUUUUUAUUAUACUUUUCUCUCAAAAAGAAAGAUAUGAUUGUCUUGUUACGUGUGAUGUAAGUGUGACACAAUAAACUUUCUUCUUCGUUGGAGGGGUCCUCGCCAAAUCGGCGAGAAUAGCUCAACUCGAUUUACUCGGUAGCUUUCAUUGAGUAGAAGAGUGUUCAACUAUUUGAUAAAGUUUCGACACAGUUUUAAAACACUAUUUGUCAAAAGUUUGGCUUAAAUCUUACAUCCCAGCCUUCCAAAACGAGUCCAGCAUAUAUGCUUUUGUUAGCUUAGAGCUUUCCGUGAAAACUUUUUUUUUUUUUUUUUCCGAUGAUAGAACAUCUGAAUCGACGAUUUAUUUUGUUUGACCUAAUCUUCGCUAUUGAAAGUUUUUACAAAUCAACGACUACAUUUUUUCAACAUUAUUUGAUUACAGAACGAAUAGUCUCGAGAUGAACAACUAAAAAGUAAAAAUAAAAAUAUCACGAAAAAAUAAUAAAAUAUUUGAAUUUCAGAGCUAAAUUUUUAUCAUUACUUAAAUAAUAUUAAAAAAAUAUAAAAUUCAGUUAAAUACUUUAAUAAUAUAGAUUAUAUCUAUCGACACAAAUCAUUAAUUUGGAUAUUCCAUCGUUGAAACCAAAAGUAUAUUAGCUGCACCAUAAAAAAAAAUAAGUUGUAAUAACUAAUAAGAAAAGUGCAAUAAACUUGAUCAUAAAAUAUAAAAUUANAAAUAUAUCGAAAGUAAAUAUAUCCUACAAAGUUCAGAACUUUUAAUUCUUAUCCCUACAAAAGUCCAGUAAUAUCAUAUUUGUCCCUCAGGUUUGUUACCGUUAAAAAAAUGUUUAUUUUUUAACAGUAGAUAAGUGAAUUGUCAAUUUUGCCAUCAUAAAUAUAUUUCUUCAAAUGCCCUAAUUGCUAUAAUCGUGAAGAAAUAUCUUCCCAAAAAAUUUUCAAUGAUCAUAUUCUUCUUUUUUAAAAUCCAAUCUAAUCCACCAUUAUUGCAACCUCUUCUCUCACACCUUUUUUCCUAAAUUUUUCCUUUUGAGCAAAAUAAGAAAAAAAAUCAUAAAGAAAUUGAAUGGAAAAACAACACGCGUUCAACAUGGGUGAAGCAACACUCGUCAUGAAUGAAUGAGAACAGAGAUAUUCUAGUUAUGAGUUCGAAACAAGCAUGAAGUUGAGAGAUGUAGAGGAUGAAGUAAAAGAGUUUCCAUUGCCAGAGUUUUGAUUAAGAGAAGAAGAUAUUAUAUAAGAGGAGCAAAAAUGAUAAUUUAUCACAUUGACUAAACAAGACUAAGUAUUUUAUUUAUGGUUAACUAAAUUUUCUAACGGAUCGUAAUGGCAGAGGCAUAUUUUGAAAAUAUUAGGACUUGCAAGGAUAAUAUAAAAAGGAUGAACUUUAUAGGAAUAUUUGCAAUUUGCUAUAUUUAUAUAGAGUUGCAUACAAUUAACCCUAAAAGUAAAGUAUAAAAAGUAAAGAAUAAGCCAAAUCUAUCUUCCAUUUGUAUCUUUUUUAAAAUAUUUGAAUGGAAAAAAAUAUGUUUUAAUGUCAUUGAAAUUGAAAAGAUGUUAUUUUAAUUAAUGUGUUUAGAAGCUUUACAAAAUCAUAUACAAGAUAUUUGUUGAGGAUGAGUGUUUAAGGGAAAAAAAAACUAAAUUUGCAAGUCGUCUUGCCCAACCAGCAAAUACGCUUCAGUGUGAAAAAAGUCUAAAAUGCACAUAUUGUUGACGUAGCAUUUCCAACCAAUAAAAUUAUCCCCUUGAGUUGAUCCGUCCCAUCAUGAUUAAUAGAAAAAUAUUUUUAUUAUACUUUUCUCUCAAAAAGAAAGAUAUGAUUGUCUUGUUACUUGUGAUGUAAGUGUGACACAGUAAACUUUCUUCUUCGUUGGAGGGGUCCUCGCCAAAUCGGCGAGAAUAGCUCAACUCGAUUUAAUCGGUAGCUUUCAUUGAGUAGAAGAGUGUGUUCAACUAUUUGAUAAAGUUUCGACACAGUUUUAAAACACUAUUUGUCAAAAGUUGGGCUUAAAUCUUACAUCCAAGCCUUCCAAAAUGAGUCCAGCAAAUAUGCUUUUGUUAGGAUAGAGCUCUACGUGAAAACUAUUUUUUUAUCCGAUAAUAGAACAUCUAAAUCGACGAUUUAUUUUAUUUGACCUAAUCUUCGCUAUUGGAAGUAUUUGCAAAUCAACGACUAUAUUUUUUCGACAUUAUUUGAUUACAGAACGAAUAGUCUCGAGAUGAACAACUAAAAAAUAAAAAUAAAAAUAUCACUAAAAAUUAAUAAAAUAUUUGAAUUUCAGAUCAGAGCUAAAUUUUUAUCAUUACUUAAAUAAUAUUAAAAAAUAUAAAAUUUAGUUAAAUACUUCUAAUAAUAUAGAUCAUAUCUAUCGGCGCAAAUCAUUAAUUUGGAUAUUCCAUCAUUGAAAACAAAAGAAUAUUAGCUGCACUGUAAAAAAAAAACAAUAAGUUGUAAUAACUAAUAAGAAAAGUGCAAAAUACUUGAUCCUCGUAUAGAUAAAAUAUUAAAUUAGUAAUAAUAUAAAAAAUUUAUACGAACUAUGAAUCAUUUCGAACCAGUUGCCUAACUUUUUUAUAUUUUCAUUUUUACUACCCAACUUUCUAAUUUGUUCGAUUUGAAUCAGUCGACAGCACUUUGACUUUAAAUUUUAAAUUUAUUAGCUUAAAUUUUAAAGCCCAAGUGCUGCGGACCGAAUCAAAUCAAACAAAUUAAAAAAUUGGAUGGUAAAAUUAAAAUCUUGAGAGAUGGAAGACCCGAUUCAAAAUAAUUCAUAAUUUUAAAAAAAAUUAUAUAUUUAUAUGGUAUAGAAUUUACACUCGCCUUUGAGCGUACAUGCGGCAGUGCUAUUGUCAAAGCUGUAGAGAGACGAGGAGUCUCCGUAGACUUUGCAAAAGAAAAGAAACGAAGCGAAAAAAAAAAAGGUUAAUUUCACAUAAGUCCCUAUAAAUAUAACAAAUUACAACUGUAUUUCUAUAAAGUUAGUUUUUAUAUAACGGCAGGAAUAACAUAUAAUAAUUGAACCAUAUAGGAUUUAUUUUUAAUUCACUGUGUUUGUAGGGAUCUAUAUGAAAUUAAUCCAAAAAAAAAAGAGUCGUGCUACCCAUACACCCCAUUUAGAGUUGUAGAUCCUACAACUCCUUGAUCCAACGGCUGAUAUAAACUUGGUUUAAAAAAAAAANAAAAAAAAAUAAGUUGUAAUAACUAAUAAGAAAAGUGCAAUAAACUUGAUCAUAAAAUAUAAAAUUAGUAAUAAUAUAAAAAAUUUUUACGAACUAUGAAUCAUUUAGAACCAGUUGCCUAACUUUUUAAUAUUUUCAUUUUUACUACCCAACUUUCUAAUUUGUUUGAUUCGAAUCAGUCGACAGCAUUUUGACUUUAAAUUUUAAAUUUAUUAGCUUAAAUUUUAAAGCCCAAGUGCUGCGGACCGAAUCAAAUUAAACAAAUUAAAAAAUUAGAUGGUAAAAUUAAAAUCUUGAGAGAUGGAAGAUGCGAUUCAAAAUAAUUCAUAAUUUUAAAAAAAUUUAUAGAUUUAUAUGGUAUAGAAUUUACACUGGCCUUUGAGCGUACAUGCGGCAGUGCUAUUGUCAAAGCUGUAGAGAGACGAGGAGUCUCCGUAGACUUUGCAAAAGAAAAGAAACGAAGAGGAAAAAAAAAAAAAGAUUAAUUUCACAUAAGUCCCUAUAAAUAUAACAAAUUACAAGUUUAUUACUAUAAAAUUUAAUUUUUAUAUAAUAACAGAAAUAUAUUUGAAAAUAUUAGAACUUUUAUAAAAAUAAUAUAUAAAUAUUGAACCAUAUAAGAUAUAUUUAUAAUUUACUAUAUUUAUAGAGACUUUUAAUGAAAUUAAUCCAAAAAAAAAAAAAAAGAAGAAAAGCUUAAAAUAAAGUUUAAUAGGGGUCUAUUUCGGAAUUACCUUUAGUUAAGGGAGUCUAACAUUUCCACUAAUCUAAUGCCAUAAUGCGAAAUCUGCAUCAUUUAUUAUUCUGCGACCCACCGAGUGUACCAUCUCCUCGUCCUCCUAUACACGUCGUGAUCGGCGACGACGACGACGACUACGACGAGGGCGAUGCGGAGCGGGGCGUCGCCGCGCCACGGCCGGAACCCUAGCUCCGGGAGUCGCCGGAGCUACGCGAGCUCGGAGCUCUCCGCCGCCUCCUCGUCUUCGUCGGCGGCGAGCCGGAACCCGGUGAGGAUCGCCGCCGCCGCGCUCCGAUCCUGCUUCAGCUCGCCGGAGUCGAUGUCUCCCGACGACUCCUUCGCCGACGACCCCGCCCGCACUCCUGCUCACCGUACGAUUCUUAAUUUUCCCCCUUUUUUGGAUUUUUCCUCAUAUAUGUAUAUACCCUAUAUCUUAUUAUCGAUCUAUGGGGCCGCGACAAAGAACAGGAUAGAGACAUAAGAAGCAUAGGGGUGGUGUUGUGUACUUUGUUAGCUUUUGUACUUUUUGGGAAUCGGAUCUGAUGGAAAUUGAAGUUUGGUUGGGAGAGAAUGGGCGUUUUCUUUUUUAAAAUUAGUUUUUUUUAUUCCGGAAAUUUAAAAAUGGUGUUUUUUUUUUUCUGAUAAUCUGGUUUUAUUAUUUUUUAUGGGUAAAUGGAAUUUUAAAUUUACAUGGAACUUUUGAAAAGGAACGAUCAAUUUUUGUCGCAUCUCUCUCUCUCUCUCUCUAUAUAUAUAUAUAUAUUGGUUUAUUGCAAAAUCGUACUGUUCACAUGAUUUUAUGUCUUUUUAAACAUUAAUUUUUAAUUUUGAAAUUUCUUCUAUUUUUUUCGUUAAAGAAUUUGGUUUUAUGUGCUGUUGAAAUGUUCUUUUUCAAUUAAUAGGGAUUUUGGAUUUUAUGGAGAGAAAAAGCUGUGGAUAUAGUUAAUUCUCGGCUGGUAGUUGCAAAUAGAAAUUCUUACAAAUCCUGCAGCUUUGUAGCUUGAAAAAUGCAUAAUACCCUAACUAAUGAAGGAACCCUUCUGAUUUUUUUUUUUUUUUUUUUACUUGAAUUGAAUAAUGUAAAUGAAAAUAAUUACCAUCGAUUUAAUUUCCAUGUUCUGAUCAAUGUCUUGAUAGUCACACCAUCUACUAGAAGUGGUUCUAGUAGUGGUGGAAGUACUUUCGGAAGUGCGAAGCAAAAAUGGGGUAAGGGAUUGUACAGCGGCGGAUACGCCAAUUCUCCUAAGAGAGGGGAGCCCGGAGGUACGAAGUUCACCAUGGCGGAGAUCCAAAAGGCGACCAAGAACUUCAAUCCGACGUUGAAGAUCGGGCAGGGUGGGUCGGGCAUGGUCUACAAGGGCCAGCUUGAUGAUGGCACUCUCGUCGCCGUCAAGCGUGCAAAGAAGGUUAGAUCGCAACGUCUUAUCUAGCGAUUGAUGUUUCGACCAGCAUCUGAAACAUCAGCCAAAAGUAAAAGCUCUAAUAUGAAGAUUUUGCUGUCUCUACUACAAUGAGAACUUCAUAACGAAAUUGUACUUAAAGAUCAUAACUGCAGAAGCCGGCCCCCAAAAGUUGUUUUUGAAAUCAGAAGUCGAGACUAGCGCUUAAUCAUCUUGCUGUGGUUCUUUUCAGAAUGUGUACGAUUCCCAUAUGAGUCUUGAAUUCCAGAACGAGAUUCAAACUCUGCAGCGCAUCGAGCAUCUGAAUUUGGUUAGGUUCCAUGGGUACUUGGAGCAUGAAGGGGAGAAGAUAAUUGUCGUCGAGUAUGUUCCUAACGGGAAUCUUCGAGAGCACCUUGAUUGUAUGUGUACUACUAUGCCUCCUUUUUCUACUGUACUGUUAAUAGAGAUUGGAAUAUGGUAUUACACAACUAUAUAGAAUUGUGUAAAUCUGAAGAUAAUUGUAUAAUUUUCGAGAAAUGCAAUGUACUGUUGCUGAGAGGAGCUCAUUUUAUGCAGGUCUGCAUGGAAAGCCUCUGGACUUAGCUACACGGCUAGAUAUCGCGAUCGAUGUGGCUCAUGCUGUUACUUAUCUGCACAUGUACUCAGGUGUGCCCAAAAUUCUUCUAAGCUAUGUUUAGAGGUUUGCGCAACUUAAAAAUUUCUAGUUGAUUGAUUGAGAACGGUACAAUAUGGUUUGUGCAUCCACUUCUAGCAGAGCAUGGCUUUGAAAUAAAUUUCGGAGUACUUCGAUCUCAGUUUCUUUUGCCCCCUUGGAAGAUAUUUGUGGUUGAAAUCAAAACUUUCUUAAUGGUUUAAAAUAAUUGCUUGCUCAGUAAUCAGUAUUCAUGCAUAAUGCAUUAAAAAAAGAAACACCAUUUUGGAUGAAUCUGAAUAAUAAUAUGACAUAAUCAUAGUUUUGGAAAUUUGAAUCUCCUUUUGUCUUCCGAAUUCUGUUGUUGGAAAAGGAAUCGACUCCCUCGAAAUGCAUGUACUUAAUUUCCAGGUAACAUUUGCUGAUUGUGUAAUUGAUUUUUAUUCUGCAGAUCAUCCUGUAAUUCAUAGAGAUAUCAAAUCCUCAAACAUCCUCCUCACAGAUAAUCUUCGUGCUAAGGUUGCCGAUUUUGGGUUCGCGAAGCUUGCUCCGACUGAGGCCGACGUGACCCAUGUUUCCACCCAAGUUAAAGGGACUGCGGGCUAUCUUGAUCCUGAGUAUCUAAGAACGUAUCAACUCACCGAGAAGAGUGAUGUCUACUCCUUUGGUGUUCUGCUUGUGGAAUUAGUAUCUGGGAGGCGCCCUAUCGAACCGAAAAGGGAGUUGAACGAACGCAUUACAGCAAAAUGGGUAAUUAACUUCCUUUGUUAUGGCCUUUUUCAGAAAAUUCUACAAAGUAGGUAGACUAUAUAUAUACAAAAGAUAGUUAAGCAUAAAGUAAUGUUUUGGGGGUCAUAUAAACAAUUUAGUAAAUCUUUCAAAAACAUUACUAGAAUUUGUAACUUUUCAGUCUAAUGCGCGUAAAUUUCAAGUGUGAGGGCUUCAGUAUUCUGAAAGGUUUCUGUGUAGGAAUGUCAUUUGUGAGGUGCAUCUCCUAAGUAUCAAGUAGUCCGAAACAUCAAUCUCUCGCUAUACCUAAUCAAACUCUAUUAAAUUUUACAGGCGAUGAGGAAAUUCACCGAAGGGAAAGCAAUAGAAACGCUGGACCCGAAUCUUUCGCCGAGCCCAGAAAACUAUUUGGCGGUCGAGAAGAUCUACGAGCUGACUUUACGAUGCCUAGCUCCGACGAGAAACAGCAGGCCCAGUAUGAGGAGAAGCGCCGAAAUUCUAUGGAGCAUAAGGAGAGACUAUAGGGAGAUGUUUCCCCUUGACUCCCUCUCCUCGCCGAAAAGUCAUCAGAGGAACCCUUCAGCAAAAUCACAUUAAUAAAAAACAAGAGCUUGCUAUGUGAUGGUUGAAUGAGUAGUUGUCCCAAGUCUGUGGUGCAUUGGAGAAACUUUCCUGUGUGUUUGUUGUGUGAGAUUUAGUUUUGGUAAUUCAUGGCCUCAUAGUCUUGUUUGUUUUGUUAAGAAAAAUAUGUGCAAGAAAUGAAUAAUGUAUACUAAUUUUAUGUAUAAUGAUUGUUUAGUGCCCUCAUUCUUUGUAAAUUUAUUGGUGCCUGUACUGUCUAAGGAGAAAUGAAUGAUUAGAGAAGAUAUUUGACUAUGAACAGCUUCUGUGAAUGAGCAUAUUGUUUGUUCAUGAUAAUACUUGAAAAGUUGUAAGAAUUAUCUGGAGCAAUGGAAACAAAUCUCUUGAUAACAUAAGCUGCAAAAAAUUGGAAAAUAAGAAGCUUCAAUAUUGGAUAUUUGCUUUUCCUGUUCACAAGCCAAUUUUAUCUUUCAACUACGGCAAAAAGGAAAGGGGUGUUUUACAUGCCAUAGUAUAUUAUAAAACCUAAUUAUUUGUCAAGUACAUGAAAAUUGGAAUGCAUUUCUUUUCUAUUUAAAAGGUAAAUGUAUCAUCCAUUUAUAAACCAACCAGAAUCAGAACCAUAAAAUGUUUGAUAUGCUGAGGUAAUAAACUGUAAGGAAUUCAACCAUUCAAAAGUACUAUAAUCCAUACAGUACAUAGCUUUCUUUUUCAUUAUUUUUUUUAAAAAAAAUUCAAACAACAGGCAAUUGAUAUGUACAAAUAACCGAAGAAAAUCUUUCGCUACAAUACAUGCUUUAAUUCUUCUCAUUUUCACAAAUUUACUUUCUCAACAAUGACUACAGAAACACCCUAUAAUUCAUAUAAUAGUCCACGAUACAAUGCCACUAACAACACAUGAAUAGUGCGUGCUAUAAACUUUUGAACUCUCGGAUCCACGCUGGUAGAACCACAGAGUAGUAAACCUCGGACAUCUGAGAGUUACAAAGUUGAUAGCAUACACUAUUCAUGUGCUAUUAGAAGCAUUCUAAGUAGACCAUUCUUUUCCUGCAUCUUGAUAUGUACAAUUGCUGCAAGAUGCAGCCCUAAGAAAAGCACAGAACAAAUUGCAGCUCGACUUCUUUGCCGAGCAGGCUCUGCGUAUUAUUAAGGCAAUACCUUUACCGAUGCUUUUGUUUGUAACAUCUACAUCAUUUUUAGCAUCGAAUGGAUUAGCUUGCCAUAAUAAUAGUAUAAGAACUCAAAUUAAGAUAACUUCUUUCGUACGUAUACGUAUUAAAUUUCUCUCGAUUCUGAUCUCGGUGAGGAGUCCUCCUGGGCCAACUCGUAGCUGGGCACUUGACUGUCAUUCCUUCGAUUUGUGCGAGUUGAGCACAAGAAAAAGAACGACGACGUGUAGAUGGUGAUGUGCCAUAAGCUGCAGCAAAAAGAAGAACCUCACUAGCUGUUAAAAUUAUCUAAGGAAAUAUCAAUAUCAAGUAACUUUUUAAGCUACAAUAACAGGAGUUAACAAACUUAUGUCUAUGAUUGAAACAUCUUAUUAGGCUUUAAGCUCUCUCUCCACUGGUAGUUUUGGUGUAACCAACAAAAUGUUGCUCUCAACAAAUGAAAGUAACUGACCGUCCCUAGAGCAAGUGACAAAGGGCUUGGUGGUUGGUACCCGAGACCCAAGUUCGAAUCCUAGUUGAUUCACAUUUCCAGCUAAAUUUAUUUCUAAAUGAAAUAAAUGAAGCGGGUAGCGUGCUACCUAUCUCUCAAAAAAAAAAAAAAAAAAACAAAUGAAAGUAAAGAAGUGAAACAGAAAAGAACUUUUUUUUUUUUUUGAUGAAUUAGAUAAAGGAAAAAUGACUUACAAAGAAGGGGAAUUGCUUAUAUACCCCAGGAAAGCCUCCGACUUUUAUAUUUACCCCUCUUAGAAGGCUAAUAUUAAAAAUAAAUUUUUAAGGUUCCAAGUUCUUUCAAAUAUACCCCUAAAGUUAAAUUCUGUUAGUGAAUUAUUAGGAACAAAUGUUAUCUCUGUGAAAUUACUAUUUUGCGUUUUCAAAUAUACUCUUCUAGCGUCACCAACUUUUCUUAUUUGCCCUUAUGUAAGGGGCAAAAGAAAUAUUUUGACUUUUAGCCUUUUCAAAUAUACCCUUCUACUGUCACCAACUUUUCUUAUUUACCCUUAUGUAAGGGGCAAAAGAAGUAUUUUGACUUUUAGCCUUUUCAAAUAUACCCUUCUACCGUCAUCAACUUUUCUUAUUUGCCCUUAAGUUAUGAACAAAAGAAGUAUUUUGACUUUUUACCUUUUUAAAUAUACCCUUCUACCGUCACCAACUUUUUUUAUUUGCUCUUAAGUUAUGGGCAAAAUAAAUAUUUUCACUAUUUUUUAACUAUGGUUGAAAUUUAACUCAGGUUUAAUCAGAGAUAAUUUAACGGGCACUAACAGCGAGGAUAUUUUUGAAUAACAGAGAAAUAUACUAGAGGUAUAUUUGAAAUAAAAAAAAAGGGAUAAAUAAGAUAUUUCAAAAGUUUUGAGGGGUAUAUAAGCAAUUAUCUCUACAAAAAAAAUAAAGCCGGUUGAGAAAACCACGUCUCUAAUAAUAAAGAAACACUAAAAUUUCAAGUAAAGAUGAUUAAUUAGAUAAAAACCUCAAAAAUCAAACAUUUAAUAUAAAAAAAUAAUCCAAUACUUAACAUUAAUAGUGUAUUAAUAGUGUUAAAAUAAUUAUCAGCUGUAAAAUUAGAGAACAUCAUUAAAACUGCAAUAGGGUAAAAUAGGUAUUUAAAUUUUGUACAGUUAGUUUUGGAUGGAUCAUCACGCAUAAUAGUAUUUGUGAAGAUUACAUGUAUUUAGGAGGGCAUUGAACAAUAUUUUUACUUUCAAAGGGGUAUUAUUAAUGAAAUUUCAGGCUGUGAAAGGGUAUCUAUGAAAUUAAUACUGUGUAAUAGAUAAUUUAACGGUAUAAUAUAUAUAUAUAUAUAUAGGUCUUCAUACUCAUAAUCAUUUUCGAUGAUAGAUCGUCCGAAUAGAUAAUCCAUACCGUUAAAUAUGAUUUAAAGCAUUUAAACAUUUAGAAACCAAAUUUCAUAAUUUUUCGACAUCAUAUACCUUAUGAUCAAAGGGUUUCAAAAUCGACUUUUUUAACGGCUAGUAUAGGGCAUUUUCUAGUUAACGGCGUAGAAGAAUUGAAAAAAAAAAUUGAACUUUUAAUAGAAAAUUCUAUUCACUAUAUAGAUCAAGAUCAAUAACUACAAUUUUAAAUUUAAGAACCCUAUCCCUUAUUUUUAGGAGAUGGUUUGGUUUUGACGGUUCAUUUUCUACCCACUUGAUGGACUUCAUUAUAAAUUCGAAAAAUUACGAAAUUCAAUUUCAUGAUACUUCAAAUGCUCUUAAAUCAUAUUUAACGGUAUGAAUUUUUGAUUUGGAAACUCCAUCAUAAAAAACGACUAAGUAUGAAGGUCUCCAUACUCAUAAGAGUAUAGUAGCCCAUAUAUAUACAUAUAAAGCUCACUCGGAAUACUAUCGAUAGAAAAUAAAUAGUGUUUACUAUCAACUUUCUAGCCUUUGGAUCAAUACUAUUCCACCUACUACCACAAAACCCUAUCAUCCAAGGGCUAAAAAGUAGAUGGUAAACACUACUCUUUUACUACCAAAAGUGUUCUAGCUUCGUUCUCUCUCUCUCUCUCUACAUAUAUAUAUAUAGAGAGAGAGAGAGAAAGAAAGAGAGUUGAAUCCUCCCCAUCCUCCCCAUCACACCAUGCAUCAGAUUCUCGUUUAGCUAUGCCACAAUCUAAGGGAUCAGUUAUUAUUUAUUGCAAUCAACUAUGAUACCCUACUUUCUAGGAAAGUCAUCCAUCCUAGAACUACUCUAAUCCUAAGCUCGCUUAACCAUCUUAAUCUCUUGGGCCUAGCCACCGCCCAAAAUGCUAUAGCUAGAAUAAGUAGUCAAUUCUCUUAACCUCUUGGGUCUAGCUACCGUCCAAAAUACUAUAGCCAGAAUAAGAAGCCAUACUAUACGUUAUAUAUAGGACAAUUUUAUAUCCUGGGAAUGCCACAUUUCCCGCCCCUUUAAGUCCUGACGCCCUCGUCAGGCUCAAGUACACUCAAAAGCACCAAGCGAUGUAAGACUCGUCUCACUAGUCUGAGCCGAUCUUGUGGAGAGUCGCGCUUCACCCACAGCAGUCGUUAGCCGAGGAGCCACACUCACAAGCACCAAACAAUAUGAGACUUGUCUCACUAGUCUGAGUUGAUCUUGUGGGGAGUCACGCUUCCCUCCACAACAGUCGUUAGCCGAGGAGCCACACUCUGCUUGUUGUAUGACUCUUAGCUCAACUGAAACUCAUCUCACACUUCCGACUAGUAAUUGAUUCUAAUACCAACGUGAUGCCACAGAAGAUGUAAAGCACAAAUGAAAAGCAGUCUCGUACCUAUGCCAAAUCCAAUAGUUAGCAUUAGUUUCCAAUUUCCAGCAUGUUCCAGCCAAAGCCAGUGUAACAAACCCCAAAAGUAAAUAGUGCCAACGGAAUCUUUUCUUCACUACUUUUAUAAGAUUUGAGAACAUGCUUCUGAUGCUUUGCCAGCUGCAACAGAACCGGAUUAACCAGAUCAAAAGUUGAAUCUACUUAAUUAUUAGAGCUAAACGAAAUGUUCGAAUUAAAAGAAAAUGCUAUAGAAUAGAGUUGAUAAUGGAGAGAGAUUUUUGAGGAGCUUACCUUCGGGAAACAUUAAAGUCAAUUCUUCGUGAAAAAUACCUGAAUCUUAGAGCUGUAGAGAAUUCUACUAACCAUCCAAUAAAAAGACCAAGAGAACCAAUCGCUAUCACUAUACCAAUGUUCGAAGACCUGAAAAAAUAACCUUUUUGCAUUUAAGAAAUAAUAAUAACUAAUUAUAGACCAUUUAGAGAAUUUUCUAUAGAAUACAGUUACCUGGUUGCACCAGUCGCAGCAAGAAGAGCAGUGAGAAUAAACACAGCUGUGUGGAUUGCUCGCUUUGAGGCCUCAUCAAUGGUAGCCAUGUAUAUAAAAGUGCUUACGACAGCCAUAAAAGAAAGCCAAAAGUCCAUAAACUGAAAGAAAUUGCAGAUCGAUUCUCAUCAAUAAUGAUAGCAAUAGUGUAUAUAUCGGGUUUGAGUGAAUCUGGUAAUAUCAUUGGAUUAUUAAUAUUGCAUUCACUAAAGAAACAACUUUGUUUCUUUCUGACAAGAACUGCGAAUUACUCGAUCAUCAUAAGAAAAGUACCUGUAGUACAUGGAAAGACAAGAUACACCAAGUGCCGACAUCACAUGCAUGAUACAAACCGCUUGAAAUUCCACUGGAUGUGUAAAGAACCCAUUCAGCAAAUGCCUAAGAAAGGGGGAAAAAAAAAGUGUGUUAGCAUAACAUAAAUCCUUCAGUGAAGAGGGACCUUAUGAUUUGAAAAGAAAGAAACCACAACUAUUAAGGAAAUGUUAUUCCAAGAUUCACAGCGCUAAAAUAUGAAAUAAUCACAACAGAAACAAACAUCCAUUAGAAAAAUGAAUACCCACCAAAACUGACGAUUAGUUUCUUGUCAACAUCUAUGUUAGCCCCACCUUAUAAUCUCCUUUUACCAUCUAUUCCAAUGAAGAGCAAACUUUAUUGUACACAAUUACACAAUAAAUUUCCAACGGAUGUGUUAAGUGGUAAAACACUUCGAACAAGUCUUCCAGGUACGUAUUUGUUGGUGAGACGACACAAGAUAACAUCUAUACUCAUUCAUCAUACGGUAAGGUUAUAUACAUAAAUUUUGACCUAUUCUUCAUUCUUUGCACAACGGAAACAGAAAAGAAAGUCUUUCACAAAUACUACAUUCUUUUCUCCAAUUCCUGAUACAAAUACCUAAAACUUGCAGAAAAGAACUGUUCUCUUUUUUAUAUGCAUCCAACAGGAGAGUUACUCUACCACACAGAAAUAAACAAACAAUCACAUUUCUUAACUUUUUAACAACCUUUUGAUGUCAUAAUUCUAUGUCCUUGAGUUUUUCGAAUUUACCGACGCAAAGAGUAUCAUGCAAAGGCAUUCAAGAAGCACAAUAUGAUUGAGCCUAGUAUGGAGAGUAGAAGGCAAAAGGAGUUUUUGUUCCCAUCAAUGAGAAGAAAAUAUGAAGCUUGCUUAAUAAGAUAUUGACAUUUAAUACAACAACCUAAUGAAAUAUUUCCAGAUUAAUUUGAAGCUUAGACAGCCUUUAGAGGGUUUCAUGAUAAAUCCUAUGCUAAGUCAUGGAAAAAAAACAAGCCUAAAUAGGAUUUGAUAGAAAGUUGUGUACAUCAUGAUUUAGUUAUUAAUGUUACUUGCCAUUCAAAAUUUAAGAACAAAAUUAUAUUGGCACUAAUUAUUACAUUACCAACUAAAAUAUCACUUGUUUCAGUCUGAUCAAAAUGAUUAUCAUCAGUUGGUAUAACCACAAAUCACGACAUUACUAAAGGAAACUAACCUUUUGCCGUAGGGCCCAGAAUGCAGGUAAAAUAGCCGCAGCAUUCGAGGCAAUUAGAAAGAUUGACUGCCAUACAUGCCCUAGAUUUGAGAUGGACACCAAAAUUAACAGAGAAACUCAUAUAGAAUAAUGAAACUAGCUAAACCAACGGAAAUGGGUCAUAAAUCAUGAAAAUGUACUUCCUGAUUUUCUAAAAUAAUAAUCCAUAUGCAGUGAGGAACUUACUAUGUAUUAAUUAUAAUUCUUUACUCUUCCAUAAUGAAAACAUAAAGAGUUAAUUUUUUUCUCUUUUUAUUGUCAGUUGGAUCAUUAUUUAGAUGAAACUAGGCCUAUACCUCCACCAGUGAGUUUUGUAUCCAGUUUCUAACUCUGUUAUCGUGUGUUUAGCUAUCCGACCAAGUACCAAUAAUAAGACACCUCUUUCUUGUUUUUUAGAAAGAGGAAUUUGGCACCUUAGAAGACAAGGAUGUAAUACAUUAUAAUUAUUUCAACCCUGUUUUCACAGAUAAUUUUUUGACGAGAGUCAACGAACUCAGUGGCUGAAGCAUUUAGAAAACCAGAGACGUGUAAGAAGAAAAAAAUUAAAAUAAGAUAAAAAAGGUCCAUCCAUUGCCACCAUAGGAGAUCACUAGCAGUAUUCAUGUGUCUAUCGGAGUACCUAAAUUCUUAAAACUGAAGUAAAUACCUCGAUUUCCAUGGUUUAAACAACUUCAAACCAUUGUACUGCAGGAAGAUUUGCUUGUUUUAAGUUUUCAAGGAUAAAAGAAGAACAGUUCUAGACCUUCACUAAAGCUUGUACCACGGUAGUCAACGAGAAGUUUAGGCGCACAUGACUAUAUUUAUGGUGUCUAUAUCAAUAAUUAAUCUUAAUCUAGGAAAGAUGAAAAAGAGCACAAUAUUGCAUAAAGUGAUCCAUAAAAAAAUAUCUCCACAAAUUAAAGGAAGAAACAAACCCAAAUCAGUUUUAUCUGAUGAAAUGUAAUUACCUUUAUGUGUUACGAGUUCAUUGCUGCAAUCAAAGCCUCCAUGAUCACGAUUACAGGCGCAGUAGCUGGGAGCAAAGAAAGAAUAUUUUCUCACAUAAUUUAUUACAUGAAUCAUUUGUGUCAUAAUGAUUUCCUACUUCUAAAAGUUUAUUGUAUGCCAUAAAGAAAAAUAAUAAGAUUCAGGAUUAACCUGUAGAAUGUCAACCCACUCUCAUCCACUGAAUAACGGCAUUGGCCGUUAUAAUUACAACCUUUAUGGCAACCCUCGAGUGAAAUAGACAUGGAAGUUUGGGAACUAUGACCAUUAGGAGGAUGCUUCAGUCCAAAGCCCCAAGUUCCUUCCCUAGCAUACAAAAUAUAAAAAUCUAUGCUUCCGCCCUUUGAAUCGUUUAGUGCUAAAAAAGCUGUGUUAUUGCUACUAUUACUGCUGCUUGAAUAAUAAUCCCACGUUUCAUUCGAUGGCAAGCCACCAAAUUUUGAGUACAAUUCAUAAUUCGUUAUUACAUCCGAUUUGAACUGAAUGUGUAGAAAGGCUCCUGCCGCGCCUUGCGGUACAUCCAGGAAGAAGUAGGUCCAUGCAGAUAGCUGAAUGGAGGAAUUGCUUAAGAGGGGCUCCAAGAUGAAAUGGAAGGAACCCACGGAUGAAAGUCCAUCAGAUGGAAGAAAAUAAGACUCAUAAGGAACAGCUGGACCCCGUUUGGGAAUUCUCUGUGGGAAUAAUCAUGAGGAAGUUAACAACAUUCUCCUACAUAAAAGUCUUUACAGACAGAAAAAAUCCUAUUACAAAAUUUGUCUUAUAAACUAUUACAAAAUAUUAUCUUAUGUACUUUUGAUUUCUAACAAGCCAUUAUAUAGCAAGUUAAAACUAUCAGUACAACAGCACACAGGGCUCAGAAGUAAAAUCAGAAUCCAACUUUAAUACGCUUCCCAUGUAUUAUAAUUUACCAAUGGCACUACAAGAGGAAACAACCUGUCAACAAAAAUAUCACGGAGACAAAGCGGAAAGCAUUUUCUUGAAAAUAACAGUAACAGUAUCAAAUGCUUAAACACACCAUUUCCACCUAAAACUUUUUUCUUUCACAUCCCAUAAAUAUGCACACAUACUCCACUAUAGAGCUUCUAAGUGGGAUGUAUAUGGGUGUGUGCGGACAUAUGUGUAAGAAAAGAUUAAAAUGAGAAUGAGAAAAAUGGGAGCAUGGGACAGGUAUCUUUUAGAAAACUACUUAUGCAGGCAUUGAGAAAUCACUACACAUUGUAGUGAGAAACAAAUCACAUCUAGAUCAUAUUAUGUCACAUACAACAGGUUUAAUAUGCAACCUAAGAAAACAAAUGAAUUAAUAUUCAAAUGGAGAAAACUUUAGUCUCAUUUGUGCCAUUAGCUACAUAUUUAAGUAUGCAGAAGUUGCUAUAAACACAAAAAUAAGCAACCUAGUAGUUUGAGGCUCCCUCUCGCUGAAGUUUUGGCAAGGAUUCUUUUUACACAUGCACAGGUAGCAUGCAAUAUCUGAACCAUAUCGCCUAAAAAUUCAAAUUCAUGAUAAGGGGCGUAGAAGUUCUCUAAGUUCUUGGACAAGUAAAGACAAUUUAGUUAUGUCAAAGAAUAACAGAACAAUACAAUUUUGCUAAAAGAAAAGGCAACUUCACCAAUUUGGCGCUAUUAUUUACAAUAUAGUAGAUAAGUGUAAUUUGAUACCUCAGCUACCUCCCAGUACAGGAGAUACUACUCAAAAGGCUAAAUAUAUACUGAGGAUGCUCCUUAAAAGCAUGUCACUUAAAAAAGUCUUAUAGCUUAUCGUUUAAGCAUCUAGUUUGAAAAGUAUGUGAUGCAUAGCCUCUAACAAAUCCUAAUGAUUUGAAAUCAAUUAGGAAGGUGCAUUAUUCCAACAUGCUUUGUCCAAGUUUCGUUUUCCAGCGUUAGCUGACCAACCAUAGAAAAAACUUAUACUAGAAUAAACAAGUUUUGAUAUAUCAAACAACACUAAUAUAAAAUAAUACACGUAAAAAAAUAGCAUCUCCUGCAGUCACAGAAACAAGUAACCACUGUUAAUUACCUGAAGAAUGUAAGAUUCCCAAGAACAAUUGGUUCCAGCUUUUCCGUAGCACUCAGUUACUUGCCAAUCCAAAGAGAAACAGAAAUUAAGCCCAUUCACGACUGUCUGGUUGACAGCCUCGACAGCAAUGUACCAUCGCCCAAUCUUUGGCGACCUUAUAAUCAAUGGGGCCAUACUUAUAUCACCGGAAUAAUCAUGUAAAGUGAGAAGUGGCAUUGCAUUGUAGCGGACAUAACACAUUAGGAGAACCCCACUCGAAUUACCUAGGUCACUCAAGGAUGAAAUUGUAAACUGGGAGGCUACAUUAAUUACAUCCAAGAAGUAAAACUUUUGCUCCCCUAGACCAAUACAUGAUGUCUCAUUCAAAUUAUUACACAUGAUCAAGCUCUCCGCCGCUAGGAAACUACUAUUGGAGUCCACCAGUUUUUGAUUAGCUUCCUUAUUCAUUUCAUUUUUCUCCAAGUUGUGCAUAUUUAGAUCUAAAAGACUCGAAUUAUUGUAUAUUGAAGGUUGGCUACAAUAAAUCAUACUGAUUGUCUGAUUGCAGUAGGGGCCCCAGAAGUUCGUCAUGGGGCAUCCUUGUAUAACUAUGCCGGUGCUGACCGUAUAUGCUUUCCCUCGACUAAUCUGCAAUUGUAUUUUAACACAUUAUGGCUUAAGAAAUAUAUAUUCAAAAAGGAAGCAAUAAUCUGAAACAAGAAGGAUUAACAAGAGAAGCAAAGAGAUUAGACUGUUACAACUGAAAGUAUUAGCAAAGGUAAUGCAAAUCUAUACACUAAUUACACUUAUUAUUCAAGUUCCAAAGGAGUAUUGCUGGUUCAACGAAACUGUCUAACGUUACUCAAUCAAAUUCUGAAGAGCAUACCAUCUUAGAUUGAGUGCGGGAAGGCCCCAGGCCAUUAAAGUAACCAAUGUACCACACCCCUGGAGAUAUCUGCAACAUAGAUUUUCUAGUCAUAAUUUGCACCAUCAAGAUGAUGAAAUUGAAAAAGCAUGCUGAAAAAUGCACUAAAACGUCAGUAAUCUAUAUUACAAAAUGCAGAUCUUAGAAAAGCGCUUCCAGGAUAUUAGUUUUGUCAAAUUUAGCAGAUAAGAAAUUUUGAAAAUUUUGGAAAUUCCAUGAUUGCGGCAAGUGAUGAAACGUAAGGUCAGAAUAUAGAAGUUGCAUAAAAAACUUCACCUCGGAGUGACAAAACGUGUGUAUGUUUUCGGAAUGGAUAGGAUCAUUGCUGACUCAAAUAUCAACUAAUCACAAUACAGGAGACCAUGAGUUCUGACAUAGUUUUAACUUAUACUAUAUUUUGUUUUAUAAUUAAAAAAAUUAAAGGAUCACAGCUAAAUUUUCAGUUGGACAUGAUCGGAGUGUUCCUAAGAAAUCCAGCUGAGGAUAUCUCGAGAGUACGACACCUUAAUGGUAAAAAGCCAUCGAAAUAUUAGGCAGUAUAUAGUAAGCUAAAUGUGAAGGUGUACUAGGAAAAUACCUGCUCAUUCGUCAAUGUUAUUGUCAUGUUUUUCUGAAAUGGUACACAUUGCCCAACAUCUGAUAGAUUGUUUGCAUCUCCGAAAGAUCCAGUUGAAAGAAAGUUUGAUACUGCAAUAAAGAACAUUCCUGUCAACAUUAUCUUGAUCAGAAUGGAUGGAACCAAAUUACGGGGAAAGGUACUCAAUAAAAAUUGGAAAAAAAAGAAAAAUAUAAAAGUAAAAUUUUUAGAAACAUUUCUCCUUAGAAUAAUUUGCGGACUCUUAAAUUUUUCAUGGAAACUGUGGACUGCAAGUGGAAGAUUCUAUUAAAGCUUGCUAAAUAAAACAGGGGAAGACAACUUAAACAUUUUUUUAAAAAAAGAAAGUUGUACGGGAAAAUUUGGGGAUAUUUUCUCAUAUGUAGUUGGAAAAUAUCAUUAAUAGCUAAAAUUGAGCUAAUUGAAACUAUUGGCUUCCACCAGAAAAUGUUCAAAGAUAGUAAAAUGGAGAACCACUAAAGAUAUGCUUUAUUGAAAUGACCGACUUGAUAGAGCAUAACAACUGGAUUUCAGUAUUUCCUCAUUUCUGAGGGUUAAAACCUUAUUUCAAGAGCAAAGUAAAUAAUGAAUGCAAAGAAAAGUCAAAGCAAAAGCCUGUUUCAAAAGCUGCUAUUAUUGCUUCUUCAAAAAAUUAUGCAAUGCCGAAAUUGCACCACCAAAAGUAUGCUUUAAGAAGUUAGAGAGCUUCAGAAAAAACAAUUAAACAAAAUCUUAGGCCUCCUUUGGCAUCAUUGCCCUUUUUUUGGGUUUUUUAAAUAGAAUUUCUCCAUGAAAUAGUAUAUGAGGGCACAUCGGAUUGCUUGCAAUCUUUAUAUUCAAGGUGUUCGUUUGGCAACAAAAAAAUACAUAAAUAAAUAAAAAUUUGGAAGUAACUUUUUUUAUUUUCUUCUUCCAAGUUACUUUUUUUAAACAAGUUGUCAGCCAUCACUUGACCAGAGUGCAGCGCAAGCUAACCAACCAUGAUAAUAUAAGAGGAAAGUUCUUCCAACAACAUAUCAAAUUAUAUAGAAUUAGUGUUUAAGAAAAACAAUAAAGUCGGCAAUGACGCCAAAUGAGCCCUUAAUAUAUUAAAUGAAAUCCAAAAAUGAUUGUCCGAAACAUACAUAAACUAUCCAGAUAAGUAUCUGAUAAAUCUGGGAUAGGAGGAUUGCCCUCCUUUAAACAAAUAAUGGGCAGCUCGCCCAAUGGAAGAUCUUUUAUCUUCUCUCUAUCCUGCAUAGUUUAAGGGACAGAUGACAAAUCAAUACCACAAAUUAAGAACACUAUAGCAAUAAAUUAAUCAUACGAUAGUGACUGCAAGAAAGCUUCAGAACUAAUUUCUGUAGAUUGUCAACGUGAGAAAAACAAACAGAGUUAGAAUUACAGGACACAAGCACUCACGAAUCGCUGCUAUAGAAAUCUAUACUAGAAAAGAAGGAAAACCAGCAUACUUUAUCUUUUCGUCAUUCUUGGCUAUUUCUUUUCUCCUUCUGCUUUAUAUAGACAUCAACAUAUAGUAAAGGAAGUUGAUUGGAGCAACAAAACAAAAAAGGGAACAAUAAUGACUAACUUGUCAAUGAUUAAUGCCCUUGCCUGCUUCUCAGUUGCAGCACGACUACUAAAGCACCAAUAAGUUUUGGACGUAAGACAGCUUGCAAAGAUCAGAUCAAAGAACUAAUGCCACCUUUGCAGCUAAUUGCAAGGAUGGACUUAUUUCGAGCAGCAUGCAUUAAUAUAACAUGGGCAAAAAUUGCGUAUUUAUUUCCUUCUUCGUAAUAAAACUAUUUCUUGUCCAAGAUUACUUUGUAAAAUUUGAGAUCAUGAAGAUUGCAGAAUUCCAACUCUCAAUCUCAAUAAAUAGAAGGAAACUCGGAGAAGUACACCUCCCUAACCUAUGUGCAUGUUUUAUUCAAUAUCAAUGAAAGAAAAAUAAAUUGGAAUAAAAUGACGGAUGUUGCUCCGGUCUAGACUUUAUAUUGCAUUCGACGAAUAACAUGCGUAAGCUUCUGAAAGUGCUAAAACAAAAGGUGGUAUAAAGAACCAAAACAGCUCAGGUUAGUUCUCGUGAAGGCCACAGAAAUCUAAAAAGCAAAAUAAAUAAAGAGAUAAAGAUGUAAUCAUGAAGCUGAAUAUUACGAAUGAUCGACAGAAUAUAAGAAAACUUACUAUAUCAACGUUAGUCAUAAAAUUCAUGGUGGCGGCGGAGAACGAAGGCGGCAGCUCAACUGCAGUAAGGUAUUAAAAACAACUGAAGAUAUUUCAGUAGUAUUCUCAUAUAGUGGUUGUUUUUUAUUAGCUAUUUAACAACAAAAAUCAAAAUUGGCCACCAUAAUACGAAAAGAAACACUCAAUAAUUCACCUAAAUUCCUACAAAUAUUUUUUUUUUAAGAUUUUCACGUGAAAUUAGAAGAGUGUAAGUCGAGUGAACGUAUUAGGCAAUUGGCAUACAAAAAUUAUUUAGAUUCCAAAUAUUCUUAUUGUGGAAAAAAGAUUUAAAAAAAGGGAAAAAUUACAACAGGCACUUAAACUUUUAAAAUAUUCUCUAGAUUGAGGAUUGAAAGAAGAAACACGCAGCUUUUCAAAACAAUAUUCUGCGGAUCAUCAAACUACUCAAACAGAAUAAAAAUCAGAACAUAAUUUUUUUAAAAAAAAAUAAAUCUGAUUCAUCCCAGAUCAGUGUCCAACCAAAAUGAACAGAAUAGAAAUGGAAUCAUCUGGACAUAUCACUGGAUCAUCUCAAUAAAUGGGAGUAGUUUCUUCCAUUUAAUUCAAAAAAGAUCUCAAUAUAUCAUUGCACCAUAACACAAAGUAGAAAAAAUAAUAGCUCAUAAAUA
Molecule: long non-coding RNA, 29658 nt
Filed under: Ananas comosus (pineapple)
Lineage: Eukaryota; Viridiplantae; Streptophyta; Magnoliopsida; Poales; Bromeliaceae
Description: long non-coding RNA (ACOM_LNC013141)
Source: RNAcentral